Phoenix dactylifera (date palm) is the source of this 1340-nucleotide non-coding RNA. NCBI's taxonomy places the organism in Eukaryota, Viridiplantae, Streptophyta, Magnoliopsida, Arecales, Arecaceae. The record is from RefSeq and is a predicted model, not a curated record.
AACAAAUCAGGGAGCGGUAAGUAAUCAAAAGAGUAAUUUUGGAUCGUAAAAUAAUUCUUUCUCAAUCAAAUGGGAAUGAUUUCUCCUUCCCACUCUUUCGGAAGAGUAGAGCCGAUCCUGGAAGCCCUAAUCCUACCUCGCCAUCUCCCUCUCCGUCUUCAUCACCCCCGUGUCCAUGGAGGCCUCUGGCCCGGGGCGAAGCUCCUCUGCGCGUGUUUGGAGGGCGAUCAAGCUAGGGUAGCUGUGAGACUCUGGAAUCUGGAUUGGAUUUGGGUGUUCCUGCCGGAGUUGGAUUUGGGGAUUCUCAGAAGCGGGUUAGGUUUGGAGAAGUGGUGUCUUAAAUGCAGGUCGGGAACUGUAAGAGAUCGAGCCCACUCAUUCUAAAUCAUAGCAACUUAAUUAUUUGAAUAGCUGUGAGGAAUCUCAUUUUUUCUCAUCAAUGUCACCAUGACUAAAUGAGAGACAUUUUUCUCUUUGGGUUGUAUGAUUAGUCAACAACAUUCUGAAUAUUCAUCAUCAUAAUGAAAUCUUCUGAGUUACUUUUGGUACCUACCAGCUUGUUACUCAUAUAAUCUUUUAUUUUAUUUUACUUUGUUUUUAGAUAUCCAAAAGUUUACCACCUUUCUCUCACACCUUAUCCUAUUCAAGAUACACUGCCAAAUCCUAACUCUGCAAUUAUUAAACUAUAUCUGCUCGGGUUCAGUUUGUUGUGGUCAAACAGCAUCUAUUUUGUUGAUCUUGUACUAGCAUAUAGGACAUUGGGAGGCUUGUCAUGGUCUUAAUCUUCAUUUGAACCUAUCCAACUUUAGCUCUGGAGUUUCAAUUCAUAUCUUGCAUGGUCUAGCACAAGUCUGACGCUGUUCCGACCUAGAUAUGUCACUGAAUUAGCAGACAGAUGUGAAGUAAAAACCUGAAAAAGCGAGCAGCAAAUGGACUUGGCCUGAAAGUUGGCUUGUUAGCCAGAAUACCACCAGAAGAGGGCCUUCCAGGGUCAAGAAGGCUAUGUCAGAGAGGAUCUUAAACUGUUCCUCAAGCUUUCGUCAUUAAAGAAGUCUUCGAGAAAGACCAACAGGGAAUUGAACCGAUAUCUGUUCAACCUACAAGCUUCGUAUCAAUCUUGUAGAACUAAUAGUGAGCUCUAUUCAUGUGAUUCUAAACCUGUAAUUGAAACUUUGCUUCCACUUCAUAGCGGAGCUAACCUGUUUCUAAAGGAUUCGUGCUCCAAGGAGUAGAUAAUUGGCUUUCCAGGUUGGAAUAAUCUUGGUCUGUUUGUUUAAUGGAAUAAUUUUCAUCUCUCUGUUUAAUUUCCAGAAUGGAUGGAAAAGGAUACAUUUAAUGUG